GGAGCAAGAAAGGGUAUGAGCAAUAAAUUGCACCAAUGGAAAACUGAAGAAACAUCAAAGAAAAAGAUUGCUGUUGAAAUUUUGAAAUUGAUUUUCAUCUUCACUCUAACCCAAAACCCACCUGCAUUCAUGUGGCUAGCUAGGUAGGGGAAAGAAAAUAGUACCGGCACUAAAAAUUAUAUACACAGUCACAAACACUCACACACACACGCACAAUUUCCUCCAACAAUAUCAUCAUCAGGCUUGUUGCGGAAAGGAUCGAUUCGAGAACUCCGAUAUGACUACAAGUAAAUUGACCGGAACGAAAAAUAAAGUGAACACAAGGAUUUACGUGGUUCGGCUUUAAUGCCUACGUCCACGGGCAGAGGCGAAAAGAAAUUUCACUAUAACAAGAUGAAGAUUACAAGUGUUUUACACUCAAGACACAACCCGAGAACCUCACAACUCUCAACCCCUAUAGAAAACCCGAAAGCUAAAAUCCUAGCUUUCAAAGAACAAGCUUUGCUCUCUCUUGGUUUGGGAUGAUAAAUAUGGCUAAUGAACCUCUCUAUUUAUAAGAGAGUUCAAGGACAUAAUUGUCCAAAACUUUGGCAAAGAUUUGUGGUUGAAAAUGGACACCAACAACCAUCCACUAAUCCACUACCACCAACAACCCACUACCAACAACAACAAUCCACUACCAAUUUUAAGCCAUUUCUUAACAAAUCUCCACCUUGGCUUGAAAUUUACCAAGCUGAACAUCAUAGUGAACUGGAUCACCUCUUCCAAACGCCUCUCUGGCGCUAAUCAAUCCCGAAUACCUAUCAAGUCCAAGCAAUGCUUGAACUUAUAUGCAGGGAUCACCUUAGUUAACAUAUCUGCAGGAUUCUUCUCGGUAGCAACCUUGCUGAUAACAAUGUCACCUUGCGUAACAUGUUCCCGAACAAAAUGAUAUCUGACAUCAAUGUGUUUGGUCCGUUCAUGAAACAUCUGAUUUUUAGUCAGAUGUAUGGCACUCUGGCUAUCGCAAAAUACAACAGUGAAAUCCUGUUGUAAACCCAAACUGCUUACUAGACCUUUCAUCCACAAUGCUUCUUUCACUGCUUCUGCUAACGCCAUAUAUUCCGCCUCAGUCGUAGAUAAGGCUACGGUAGACUGUAACACAGCUUUCCAACUAAUGGCUCCUCCAGAAUAAGUGAAAACAUAACCCGUCAGAGAUCUUCUUUUGUCCAGAUCUCCAGCAUAAUCAGAGUCCGCAUAGCCCGUGACACUGCUAGUGCAGUCACUCUGAUCAUAUACCAAGCAUAAAUCUGCAGAACCUCUCAAGUACCUGAGAAUCCAUUUCACGGCCUGCCAGUGUUCCUUGCCAGGACAACUCAUGUAUCUGCUGACCACACUAACUGCAUGUGAAAUGUCUGGACGAGUGCAAACCAUUGCAUACAUCACGCUUCCAACUGCACUCGAGUAUGGAAUGUGAGACAUUUGCUGCUUUUCUUCAUCAGAUUGUGGUGACAACUCUGCAGAGAGUUUGAAAUGUGGUGCCAACGGAGUACUCACAGUUUUCGCUUUAUCCAUGCCGAAGCGUUGAAGAACCUUUUCAAUGUAGUUCUUCUGCGACACACGAAGCUUGCCCGCCUUGCGAUCUCUGUGAAUAUCCAUGCCCAAAAUUUUCUUGGCAGCACCCAGAUCCUUCAUCUCGAACUCACCACUCAACUGCGACUUUAACUUGUUGAUUUCCGACAUGUUUUUGGAAGCAAUUAACAUGUCAUCAACAUACAGCAACAAAUAAAUGUGCGAACCAUCUGAGAGCUUCCGAUGAUAGACACAAGCAUCAUAGUCACAUCUUGUGUAACCAUGCUGAAUCAUGAAGCUAUCAAACCGCUUGUACCACUGCCUUGGGGAUUGUUUCAAUCCAUAUAAAGACUUCUUUAAUAGACAGACAUGGUCUUCUUUACCAGGAACUGUAAAACCCUCUGGUUGACGCAUGUAGAUUGUUUCCUCGAGCUCACCAUGCAAGAACGCCGUUUUUACGUCAAGCUGCUCAAGUUCUAGAUCAGACUUGGCCACCAUGGCAAGUAAUAUACGAAUGGAAGAAUGCUUUACGACUGGGGAGAAAACUUCAUUGUAGUCAAUCCCCUCUUUCUGAGUGAAGCCUUUAGCAACCAAUCGUGCCUUGAAUCUAGUUGCUUCAACCCCUAGGAUGCCUUCCUUUUUCUUGAAGACCCAUUUGCAACCAACUAUCUUCUGGUUACUUGGCGGCUUAACCAACUCCCAAGUAUGGUUCUUGUGAAGAGAUUCUAUCUCCUCACUCAUAGCAAUUGCCCACUGUGCCGACUCAUCACACGUGACAGCCUCAUUAUAACUGGAAGGUUCUAUACCAAUGGACUCCGCCACACUGAGCGCGAAAGACACCAGAUUAGCGUAACGCGGAUUUGGUUUGAUUUGUCUCUUCGUUCUUCCAGUGGCAAUGCUAUAUGGUUUUUCUUGAGGUGACUCAUCUUCAUCGGAAUCUUGCACCUCAACUUGAUCAUCCUGGACUGAAGUACCUUCCGUAGGAAUUGGAGCGUCCACCUGACACUCCACCUGCUUCUCAACACCGUGAUCUCCCAUUCUAUCUGACUCCUCCUUUUCCCGGGAAUUUGUGGUGGAUCGAAGCAUGGAUGACUCAUCAAAAGUCACAUCUCUGCUGAUGAUGAACUUGGACGAAACCGGAUCAGGACACCACAACCUGUAUCCUUUCACCCCUUGGCCGUAUCCAAGAAAUAUGCAUUUCUUCGCCCUCGGUUUGAGUUUUCCCUCAUUUACAUGAGCAUACGCAGGGCAGCCAAACACUCUUAAACCAGAGUAAUCAGCAGGAGAACCAGACCAUACUUCCUCAGGAGUCUUCAGCUCAAUAGCUGUUGACGGAGAUCUGUUAACCAAAUAACAAGCAGUAUUAACAGCUUCAGCCCAAAAUUCUUCACCGAGCCCAGCAUUUGAUCGCAUGCAACGAGCUCGCUCCAAGAGAGUUCUAUUCAUGCGUUCUGCAACUCCAUUUUGUUGUGGUGUUCGACGAACAGUGCGGUGUCUCACUAUUCCUUCAUUCUUGCAGAACUCAUUGAAUUCACCUGAGCAAAACUCCAAGCCAUUAUCCGUCCGGAAUCGCUUGAUCUUCUUUCCUGUUUGAUUUUCGAUCAAAGCUUUAAAUUGCUUGAAGUUGAUGAGAACCUCAUACUUGCUCUUCAGAAAAUACACCCAAACCUUUCUCGAGUAAUCAUCGAUAAAGGUAAGCAGAUAUCUGUAACCACCUUUAGAAAUUGUCGGAGAAGGCCCCCAAAGGUCAGAAUGGAAGUAAUCCACUGUGCCUUUUGUCUUGUGAAUCCCAGUGCUGAACUUUACCCGAGUCUGCUUACCGAAGACGCAGUGCUCACAGAAAUUCAACUUUCCUGUACACUGCCCAGACAAUAAUCCUCGUUUGCUUAGCACCGAUAAGCCUCUCUCGCUCAUAUGCCCGAGCCGCAUAUGCCAUAACUUCGUGGUGUCAGAAUCUAGAUCAUCUGAUGAUGACACUCCCGCAACACCUGUAACCGAGGAACCAUCGAGGAAGUAAAGGCCCCGCUCCAAAUUACCACGUAUCACAGUCAAAGCACCCGAGAAUACCUUGAGAACUCCACCUUCAGCAGAGUACCGAAAGCCUUUCUUGUCCAACGUACUCAAAGAGAUCAAAUUUUUCUUCAUUUCUGGAAUGUGCCGAACAUCAGUUAGAGUUCUAACAAUACCGUCAAACAUCUUUAUACGAACUGUGCCAAUCCCCAUGACUUGACAUGCGUGGUCAUUUCCCAUUAGUACUGAACCAGAAUGCUUCUCGUAUGUUGAGAAUGCAUCUUUCGAAGUACUUAUAUGAAAUGUAGCUCCCGUAUCAAGAAUCCAUCUCCCACCAGCGUAAGAGUCGGAUACUGCAAGAACGAUCUCGGCAUCACUUGAAGAAUCUGCAUCAGCUACAUUCGCACGAUCAUUUUGUUGCUCCUGUGAUUCUGAUUUCUCCUUCCUUUUCGGACAAUCUACCUUCAUGUGCCCGUACUUCUUACAGUAGUAGCACUGUAUUCUCUUCUUGGACUGCGAUCUAGGAUGGCUUUUACUUGAACUUCCACCCUUUGCCUUGGAUCUUCCUCGAGCAACCAAGCCUUCGCCUUCAUUGUUUUCGACCACCUUACCAGUGAUUUUCUUCCUCAACUCACUGGAACUUAAGGCAUUUUUCACCUCCUCUAGAGUCAGGUCAUCACGACCGUACAUCAUUGUAUCAACAAAAUUCUCAUACGAGGGAGGCAAAGAACACAAAACAAUUAUUGCUUGGUCCUCAUCAUCGAUUUUGUUAUCGAUAUUAUUCAAAUCCAUGAUAAUGGAAUUGAAUUUAUCCAGGUGCUGGGAAACAGGUGUACCUUCCUCCAUCUUCAGGGCAUAGAGUCUUUGCUUGAGGUAGAGCCGGUUCGUCAAUGACUUCGUCAUGUACUUGCUCUCUAACCGGAGCCACAAACCGGACGCGGUUUUCUCAUCCGCUACUUCUCGUAGCACUUCAUCUCCUAGACAUAGCAGAAUAGCACUAUGUGCUCUUUCUAGCAUGUCAUCCUUUUGCUCUUCCGAAAGCGUGCUUGGUAAUUUAUCUUUACCAGACAAUGCUUUUAGCAAUCCUUGUUGAACCAGCACUGCCCGCAUCUUGAUGCGCCAUAAACUGAAACUAUUUUUCCCGGUAAAUUUCUCGACAUCAUACUUAGUCGAUGAAACACUUGUAGCCAUAAUUUGGAACCUUUGAAUGAAUGAUAAUAUUUUCUUCCUGAUGUGAAAGAUCAGACAAAGCUGCAGUCACAGGGCAAUUCAGAAAAUAUUAUCACUCCUUCAACUACGCUCUGAUACCAAUUUGUUGCGGAAAGGAUCGAUUCGAGAACUCCGAUAUGACUACAAGUAAAUUGACCGGAACGAAAAAUAAAGUGAACACAAGGAUUUACGUGGUUCGGCUUUAAUGCCUACGUCCACGGGCAGAGGCGAAAAGAAAUUUCACUAUAACAAGAUGAAGAUUACAAGUGUUUUACACUCAAGACACAACCCGAGAACCUCACAACUCUCAACCCCUAUAGAAAACCCGAAAGCUAAAAUCCUAGCUUUCAAAGAACAAGCUUUGCUCUCUCUUGGUUUGGGAUGAUAAAUAUGGCUAAUGAACCUCUCUAUUUAUAAGAGAGUUCAAGGACAUAAUUGUCCAAAACUUUGGCAAAGAUUUGUGGUUGAAAAUGGACACCAACAACCAUCCACUAAUCCACUACCACCAACAACCCACUACCAACAACAACAAUCCACUACCAAUUUUAAGCCAUUUCUUAACAAGGCUCUAAGAGAUAAACAAAAAGAAAAGAAAAAAAAGAUGGAAAAGGAAGCUAGAAUAUUCUUGAAUGGAUAUUUGAAACUAACAUGUGGGAGGCAUAAGGUUCAGCCGUAAAUCAUCUUUUUCCAAGACCAAACGUGCUUUGUUAGU
Molecule: long non-coding RNA, 5482 nt
Filed under: Gossypium barbadense (sea-island cotton)
Lineage: Eukaryota; Viridiplantae; Streptophyta; Magnoliopsida; Malvales; Malvaceae
Description: long non-coding RNA (GBAR_LNC016170)
Source: RNAcentral